AUUGAACGCUGGCGGCAGGCCUAACACAUGCAAGUCGAGCGGAUGAAGGGAGCUUGCUCCUGGAUUCAGCGGCGGACGGGUGAGUAAUGCCUAGGAAUCUGCCUGGUAGUGGGGGAUAACGUCCGGAAACGGGCGCUAAUACCGCAUACGUCCUGAGGGAGAAAGUGGGGGAUCUUCGGACCUCACGCUAUCAGAUGAGCCUAGGUCGGAUUAGCUAGUUGGUGGGGUAAAGGCCUACCAAGGCGACGAUCCGUAACUGGUCUGAGAGGAUGAUCAGUCACACUGGAACUGAGACACGGUCCAGACUCCUACGGGAGGCAGCAGUGGGGAAUAUUGGACAAUGGGCGAAAGCCUGAUCCAGCCAUGCCGCGUGUGUGAGGAAGGUCUUCGGAUUGUAAAGCACUUUAAGUUGGGAGGAAGGGCAGUAAGUUAAUACCUUGCUGUUUUGACGUUACCGACAGAAUAAGCACCGGCUAACUUCGUG
This 484-nucleotide ribosomal RNA is filed under the name uncultured bacterium. RNAcentral describes it as "partial 16S ribosomal RNA". It matches the Rfam family "Bacterial small subunit ribosomal RNA", at positions 30 to 507 of the family's 1533-position model. The record is from RNAcentral.